AAUUAUUGCCGAUCCUCCCCUCCAACACUGCUCUCAUCACCUAUAUACUCUUCUCUCUGCCCGUCUCUGCUUCCCCCCCCUUCCCCCCCCCCUUUUCUCCCGGCCGACGGAGCUGAAGGGGCGGGGGUUCCUUCCUUGGAGUGUUUCUAGAGCUCGGAGGCUGCUGGUAGGGGGGCACCACUUUCAGAUAAAAACAUAGACCUGAAUGGCAUCAUCCAGUAUCCAAGGAAACCAUGUUCUCUAAACAUGAAUAUGCCUUUGGGGGAAGACAGAAGAACAUGGAAGCCAUGUGAAAAAAACGGAUCCUAAGGCAGUUUUGAACAUCUGGAGGCCUGAUUUAUUGGAGAUUGCAAAUGUACAGUGUAACAUAGCUGUGGAGAGCGAGAAGAUCAGGAUUGUCAAUGCUGUCAUUGCUUUUACUGGAAUCCCCAGCACGAAUUGAAGGUCUCACUUUGCCACCUAGGCUGGAUGCAAUGCAACGGUAUGUUGAUCUUGGUUCACUGCAGCCUCAACCUCCUGAGCUCAUGUGAUCCUCCCACCUCAGUCCCCCACGUCGCUUGGAUUACAGGCCUGUGCCACCACACCUGGCUAACUUUUUUUGUAAUUUUUGUAGAGACAGGGUCUCACUAUGUUUCCCAUGCUGGUCUUUAAUGCCUGAGCUCAAGCCAUCCGCCUGCCUCGGCCUCCCAAAUUGCUGGGAUUACAGGCAUGAGCCACCAUGCCCAGCCUAAUUCUUCUAAAUCUUAUCCUAGUAAUUAAGCCAGAAUUUUUCUCUGCCAAGACCAAUAGAUGGACCAAGAAGUACUCAUCCUUGUAAACUUUCUUUGGAUAAAUUGCUUACAUAUAAUAAAUUCAGAGUUAAG
This 863-nucleotide long non-coding RNA is filed under the name Homo sapiens (human). RNAcentral's name for it is "PREDICTED lncRNA (TCONS_00212508)". The record is from RNAcentral. Lineage: Eukaryota; Metazoa; Chordata; Mammalia; Primates; Hominidae.